This 491-nucleotide ribosomal RNA is filed under the name uncultured bacterium. Its description in RNAcentral is "partial 16S ribosomal RNA". It matches the Rfam family "Bacterial small subunit ribosomal RNA", at positions 29 to 506 of the family's 1533-position model. The record is from RNAcentral.
AGUGAACGCUGGCGGUAGGCCUAACACAUGCAAGUCGAACGGCAGCACAGUAAGAGCUUGCUCUUACGGGUGGCGAGUGGCGGACGGGUGAGGAAUACAUCGGAAUCUACUUUUUCGUGGGGGAUAACGUAGGGAAACUUACGCUAAUACCGCAUACGACCUACGGGUGAAAGCAGGGGAUCUUCGGACCUUGCGCGAUUGAAUGAGCCGAUGUCGGAUUAGUUAGUUGGCGGGGUAAAGGCCCACCAAGGCGACGAUCCGUAGCUGGUCUGAGUGGAUGGUCCGCCACACUGGAGCUGAGACACGGCCCAGACUCCUACGUGAGGCAGCAGUGGGGAAGAUUGGACACAGGGCGGAAGACUGAACCAGGCAUGCCGCGCGGGUGAAGCAGGCCUGCGGGUUGGAAAGCCCUUUUGUGGGGAAAGAAAAGCAGCAGGUUAAUACCCCGCUGUUCUGACGGUACCCAAAGAAUAAGCACCGGCUAACUUCGU